This 500-nucleotide ribosomal RNA is filed under the name uncultured bacterium. RNAcentral describes it as "partial 16S ribosomal RNA". It matches the Rfam family "Bacterial small subunit ribosomal RNA", at positions 30 to 523 of the family's 1533-position model. The record is from RNAcentral.
AUUGAACGCUGGCGGCAUGCUUUACACAUGCAAGUCGAACGGUAACAGUGUGCUUGCACCGCUGACGAGUGGCGAACGGGUGAGUAAUGCGUCGGAACGCACCGAGUAAUGGGGGAUAACGCAGCGAAAGCUGUGCUAAUACCGCAUACGCUCUGAGGAGGAAAGCGGGGGACCUUCGGGCCUCGCGUUAUUCGAGCGGCCGACGUCUGAUUAGCUAGUAGGUGAGGUAAGAGCUCACCUAGGCGACGAUCAGUAGCGGGUCUGAGGGGAUGAUCCGCCACACUGGGACUGAGACACGGCCCAGAGUCCUACGGGAGGCAGCAGUGGGGAAGUUUGGACAGUGGGCGCAAGCCUGAUCCAGCCAUGCCGCGUGUCUGAAGAAGGCCUUCGGGUUGUAAAGGACUUUUGUCAGGGAGGAAAUCCUUAGCGCUAAUACCGUUGAGGGAUGACAGUACCUGAAGAAUAAGCACCGGCUAACUACGUGCCAGCAGCCGCCGUAA